This 253-nucleotide ribosomal RNA is filed under the name uncultured bacterium. RNAcentral's name for it is "partial 16S ribosomal RNA". It matches the Rfam family "Bacterial small subunit ribosomal RNA", at positions 524 to 776 of the family's 1533-position model. The record is from RNAcentral.
UACGGGGGGGGCAAGCGUUGUUCGGAAUUACUGGGCGUAAAGGGUUUGUAGGUGGCUCGCUAAGUCAGACGUGAAAUCCCUCAGCUUAACUGGGGAACUGCGUCUGAGACUGAUGAGCUCGAGUGCAGGAGAGGAACGCGGAAUUCCAGGUGUAGCGGUGAAAUGCGUAGAUAUCUGGAGGAACACCGGUGGCGAAGGCGGCGUUCUGGACUGCAACUGACACUGAAAAACGAAAGCCAGGGGAGCAAACGGG